CACUGCGGUGAAUACGUUCCCGGGUCUUGUACUCACCGCCCGUCAAGGCACGAAAGUCACCAACACCCGAAGUCCCAACUGGAUUGGGCCUAAGGUGGGGGGAUAAUUGGGCUU
RNAcentral lists this ribosomal RNA (114 nucleotides) under uncultured bacterium. Its description in RNAcentral is "partial 16S ribosomal RNA". It matches the Rfam family "Bacterial small subunit ribosomal RNA", at positions 1355 to 1482 of the family's 1533-position model. The record is from RNAcentral.